This 467-nucleotide ribosomal RNA is filed under the name uncultured bacterium. RNAcentral's name for it is "partial 16S ribosomal RNA". It matches the Rfam family "Bacterial small subunit ribosomal RNA", at positions 28 to 506 of the family's 1533-position model. The record is from RNAcentral.
GACGAACGCUGGCGGCGUGCUUAACACAUGCAAGUCGAACGGAAAGGCCCUGCUUUUGUGGGGUGCUCGAGUGGCGAACGGGUGAGUAACACGUGAGUAACCUGCCCUUGACUUUGGGAUAACUUCAGGAAACUGGGGCUAAUACCGGAUAGGAGCUCCUGCUGCAUGGUGGGGGUUGGAAAGUUUCGGCGGUUGGGGAUGGACUCGCGGCUUAUCAGCUUGUUGGUGGGGUAGUGGCUUACCAAGGCUUUGACGGGUAGCCGGCCUGAGAGGGUGACCGGCCACAUUGGGACUGAGAUACGGCCCAGACUCCUACGGGAGGCAGGAGUGGGGAAUAUUGCACAAUGGGCGGAAGCCUGAUGCAGCAACGCCGCGUGCGGGAUGACGGCAUUCGGGUUGUAAACAGCUUUCGCCUGUGACGAAGCGUGAGUGACGGUAAUGGGGAAAGAAGCACCGGCUAACUACGU